RNAcentral lists this ribosomal RNA (368 nucleotides) under uncultured Glomeromycotina. Its description in RNAcentral is "LSU rRNA". Lineage: Eukaryota; Fungi; Glomeromycota. The record is from RNAcentral.
UUGAAAGGGAAACGAUUGAAGUCAGUCGUGCUGGCGCCGAAAUCAACCUUCUCGUCUUGAGAUCACAUGGCGUGGCGAGCCUCAAAACCGUCACGAAGCGUGGAACUCUUGGUGAAAUGGAGCACUUUCGUGUCCGCUGGUUAACAUCAAUUUCGAACGUCAUAAAAAGGCUGGAGGGAUGUGGCUCCUUCGGGAGUGUUAUAACCUUUAGCGGAAUGUGGUGUUCGGGAUUGAGGAUUGCAACGAAUACCUUUAGGGCUGUUCCACCUGGCUUCUCUUUGGAUCCUGGUGACGACAGCUUGCUGACGUCNUUAGGAUUCGCCUUUGAACAGGCAGAGUGUAGCAAAUUCGUUAAGGAUGUUGACGUA